UAACUUACCUGGAUGGGUUCAGUGGGUGAUCAAUAAGGUCCAUAGCCUAGGUUAGUGACCUCCAUUACUCUUGUGAGGGGUGCCCAGUGUAAUCUACAUCCUUAUUUGUGUUUUACUUCACUAUAGGAGUGAUA
This 134-nucleotide small nuclear RNA is filed under the name Daucus carota subsp. sativus. RNAcentral describes it as "snRNA U1". It matches the Rfam family "U1 spliceosomal RNA". Rfam says of the family: U1 is a small nuclear RNA (snRNA) component of the spliceosome (involved in pre-mRNA splicing). Its 5' end forms complementary base pairs with the 5' splice junction, thus defining the 5' donor site of an intron. Lineage: Eukaryota; Viridiplantae; Streptophyta; Magnoliopsida; Apiales; Apiaceae. The record is from RNAcentral.